UACAGAGGGUGCAAGCGUUAAUCGGAAUUACUGGGCGUAAAGCGCACGCAGGCGGUUGGUUAAGUCAGAUGUGAAAGCCCCGGGCUCAACCUGGGAAUUGCAUUUGAAACUGGGAAACUAGAGUGUGUGAGAGGGGGGUAGAAUUCCAAGUGUAGCGGUGAAAUGCGUAGAGAUUUGGAGGAAUACCAGUGGCGAAGGCGGCCCCCUGGCACAACACUGACGCUCAGGUGCGAAAGCGUGGGGAGCAAACAGG
This 253-nucleotide ribosomal RNA is filed under the name uncultured bacterium. RNAcentral describes it as "partial 16S ribosomal RNA". It matches the Rfam family "Bacterial small subunit ribosomal RNA", at positions 524 to 776 of the family's 1533-position model. The record is from RNAcentral.